GAUUUCAUUUUCCUCACAAAAGGAUUAAGGGUUUUAUUUUCCUCAGCUGAAGCACAAAAUGAGCGAGAUUCUUCGUUCACGUCCAUUUCAUCGGGCUUGGGUGUCAGGAUCUAUAUUUAUCUGUGUUAGCAUGUGGCCAAGGAGCUGGAAGUCUUUGGAUGUCAGUGGCUUUCAGAUGUCAGGAUAACCUUAAAGACACGUGAGUGGUCGAGCUCCCGUGCCCCGCUUCUGAGUUCUCAGCUGCUGUGCUGUGGAGACAUGUGUUUGUUUUCUGAGUCUCCUACAACCCUGCCUCUGAAGCCAGUCUCAAGAUCCCACAGAUGUCUGGGCCAGCAGGCUCCUCCAAAAGCUGCUUGGUCUCUUGGGGGAGAAGACCUCCAGUUUCUGUGAGCCCCAUCCUUUGAAGAGCUGCUCCGUCCAAAGUUACGUCUCAGCAGAUGCAGACAGGCAAUGACAAUGCGGGACGACGUGAGCCGUGAUGAGGGGCAUGUACUGCUAUAAGGGCACAGACCUUUGCUGUUGGAUGUUGGCUGUCAGCUCCAGGGAGGCUGGGUCAUUGUAACCUCGUGUCAGCGAUGUCCAGUGCAUGACGCACAGCACUCCACAGAUAGAGCUUACGCGUUUAUUCAAAAAUAUUAUGUCUAAAUCUUUUCUAACUGAGAAUGUUUACCUUCUUCUAAGGACUAUGAUAGGAGUUUUCAUCAUUUAAACAAUUAAAAACCCUGUUUCUUCCGUCUCUUACACCUGGUACUCUUUUCUAAAUGUUCAAAUUGGCGUAAAUCUCCACCACAAAGGUACGCAUAGAUUGGUGCAGUUCUUUGUGAGAAAUCCUCAGUAGGUAGCUUCAGGGAAUGUAGCCACCCAGCAUCACCCCUGCCCUUCCCAGAAGUUUGAGUUUGUGUAUGUGUGGGCGUAACAUAGGGCGGAUCAGCUAUUAAAGAAUUAAUUAUGAAAUUCAGUAAAGAAGUAUUCUAUCAUCCACUUUACACUCCGUGUGUAAUCUCACAGACACUAAUAAUUUCUCAGGGAGUCGAGUCCAUGAAGCUCGUUCGUGUCACCUAACACCACUGAAGUCUUAGUUCUUUUCCCCAAUCCGCUUCAGUGCCGGCUUCUGUGUUCAGCUUCUUAGAUGUCUUCACUACAUGGACCAAAUUUGGAUGAAGCUAGAGAAAAACUCUUUAGUUCAGUCGGUUCCACUGUGGGUCAAUGGUCAUCUUGGAGGUUUGCUAACCUCGCCUCCAGGUGCAGAUUGCGAUUCCCCCACUUCUCACUUUAUGGGGAUCCAUGGCAGGUACAGUAGUUUUUCUUUGCUGGCCUGAUCACCCCGACCCCCAACCAGAGCCCUCUCUGGGGUGGAGGUAGUGGCCAGCUGGUGGUAGAGGCACAGACAUGGUCUGCUUUCUUCCUCAAUCCCUUGCUCGGAGUUCCUCCAUGACCUCCUUCAGAGCCUCUUAAAAGUUUUUUCACCUUCAGUCUUCCAAACCUCAGUGUAUUGCAACCUUCUACUGCAGCCCUAUUACAACGGUUCAGUAAAGUUCUAUAUUUUACCAGAUAAAGUCAGGAGAUGCAGGAUUCAGCAAGGAAAAAAGUAAAUUCUAGCUUUAAGAGGCAAAGAGAAAGGAAGCUUACCAUAAUUAUUCCUGUUAUCUUCUCUACCCCAUUAAUAUUCCUCUUGAGUGUUGAAGAUGCCAUUUUGUUUUCUAGGAUCUCCCAUGCAGGGCUUCUGUACAUAGUAACAGCAAGGGCGUUUCUAAAGCUGAAAUCCUGUAGAAUAAAUAAAAGCAAUUGAAACAAUCUGAAUGGUCUUUUGUGAAAAGAAAACUACAAAUAAUUAUCUACCAUGGCAAAGCAACAGCUAUGAAGCUGGGCUUUCUCCUGAGGUUUAAGGCUGAAAGUCAACUUUCAGCAGGUCCCUGAAUGUGCGCAGAAAAGCUGCAAACAUUAGAGGUGGUGAUAGUUCCAGCACAGUCUUACACCGAGACCCACUGAUUCUCGCCUGCGAGGACUCUGAGGGCCCUGAAAUACGGAAGCUUAACAGCCUUCGUCGCCAUGGGAUUGUCACGCUCAUUUCCUUUUCUGCAGUUUUUCUAGGCUCUCCUCCGUCAGCACCUACUCAGGGAUGUUAUCUAUUUUUAUGGUUUCACCUAUGAUCUGUGUGUUGAAGAGACCCAAACCUACAUUUCACAGCCCUAGUCUCGUCUCUGUGCUUCAGACUCACGUGUCCAUGUGCCUGCUGAUCAAGUUCUAGACGUGGAUGCUCUCCGUCUUGAGUUGAAAGUGUCUGACAUCUUUCUGUUCUGACUUGUGAUGUGCAUUUUAGGUUCAAAAUUAAAUUGGACACGACCCAAGAUGGAUGUCUCUUACUAUGCUCGAAUCUAUCCCAUGUUCAGUAGAACAUACGCACACACAUGUACUCUGCAAAUACUAUUUCAACAAAUGGAUGGUUACAUGAUGAUGACUAAUUAUAACCUAUCGGCGUCUGCACGGCACUCUGAUAAUCACAGUGCAAAAUGCCCAGUCUUCAAUGAGAGGCAUAAAUUAUCGGUUGAGGCAUAAUCUAUGCAGCCAUAUUGAAGAGCCUUGAAGCUUGGCACUGCCAUGUCCUAGCACUGUGAUCUUGAGCAAGUUAGUAAACUUCUCAGUGUCUCUGUUUCCUCAUUUGUAAAAUAGGAUAAUAAACGUGCCUAUCUCUUAGGCCAGUUGUUCAAAAUAAGGAGUUACUAUAUGUAAAAUAUUCACACAAGUGUCUUGCAAGUGAUAAAUGCUACAGAAGGCUUAACUAUUAUUUAAUUCCUACAGUCUUAAAAUGUGUAACAUCAUCCUCAUCUUAAGGAUGAGUAAACAGACUCAAAGAGAUCAAGAAUCUGGCCUAGGAUCUUGCAGCUAGGAAGUGAAAAUUCCCGAUAAAGCUAAUAGAAUCCCACCCCCAAAGCUAGUCCAGUUAUUUCCUCUCUGUUCUUUUCUUUCAACUUCUUACAGGAGCCUGAAACCCAGGACUCAUUCUGGAUUUUUUCCCCCCUCCACCUAGCUAAUUAUUCACCAAGCUUUAGCUAUUCAUGCUACGUGCUAAAUAUCUCCCUAUCUCUACAAAUAUUUCAGGAGUCUUCCUCAGCUUCUUCCUCCCCAGCCACUGCCUGAAGUCAGACCAUGUAAUUUCCUGCCUAGAUGAUUUAAAAGACUCCCUCUAGCCUUCCCUCCCAUCUAUUCUCCAUGUUGUUCCAGAGCCAUCUUCCAAACCCAAAUUUCAUCAUGCACUUCUUCCCUAAAAUCCUCGAGUAGCUCUGUAUUGGUUUCAAGAUGAAUUCCUGAGAGAAAGAAUUCCUAGGUAUUCAAGCACAACCCUCACUUUGGUAUGUUGUGCGUUAUACUGGGGCUUCAUCAUGUCGUUUGUGCCCACCGUUCCAGCGUCCUGUCUUGUUUUUCCAAAACUCAUACCUUGUACCGAAGCCUGACCAAAAUAUCUGUAUUUCCCCAGUGGUAUGUUUUCUUAGGGAUCUGUAUUUUGGAGGAAUGCCUUUGAAACAUUUGCCCUCUCCUCACUUCUUCACCUGGCCUUAUAUCUGUAACUUUCACGGGAGGUACCACUUCCUCCACCAACUGUCCUCUGACACUCUUCCCUGACCCACCAUCCUAUCUCCCCAC
Molecule: long non-coding RNA, 3642 nt
Filed under: Equus asinus (donkey)
Lineage: Eukaryota; Metazoa; Chordata; Mammalia; Perissodactyla; Equidae
Description: lncRNA (ENSEASG00005037708.1)
Source: RNAcentral